Molecule: ribosomal RNA, 266 nt
Filed under: uncultured bacterium
Lineage: Bacteria
Description: partial 16S ribosomal RNA
Rfam family: Bacterial small subunit ribosomal RNA
Source: RNAcentral
GUCCUGGCCGUAAACGAUGGAUACUAGGUGUCGGGGGUAUCGACCCCUCCGGUGCCGCAGCUAACGCAAUAAGUAUCCCGCCUGGGGAGUACGGCCGCAAGGUUGAAACUCAAAGGAAUUGACGGGGGCCCGCACAAGCGGUGGAGCAUGUUGUUUAAUACGUCACUAACCGUAGAACCUUACCAGGGCUUGACAUCCGUCGACCGCCUCGGAAACGGGGUUUUCUCCGCAAGGGGACGGCGAGACAGGUGUUGCAUGGCUGUCGU